AUGGCGAGCGGAGGCGGCAAGGCGACGGCGUCGUCGUGGGCGGCGGCGAUGAGCGUGGGCGCGGGCACGGUGGAGGCGCUCAAGGAGCGGCACUCCGGGCUGUGCCGCUGGAACCACCACGCGCUCCCGUGCGUCUUCCAGCAGCGCGCCGGCACCUCGGCCGCCGGGAACGGCACCUGCGGCAAGGGCAAGGCGGCGCCCACUGCCGGUGGGGCGGCGGCGAGGAGGAAGGCGAGGCAGGAGCAGGAAGAGGAGCUCCGGACGGUGAUGUACCUCAGCAACUGGGGACCCAACAACUAA
Molecule: ribosomal RNA, 300 nt
Filed under: Triticum aestivum (bread wheat)
Lineage: Eukaryota; Viridiplantae; Streptophyta; Magnoliopsida; Poales; Poaceae
Description: partial small subunit ribosomal RNA
Source: RNAcentral